This 71-nucleotide transfer RNA is filed under the name Bacteroidota bacterium. RNAcentral's name for it is "Bacteroidetes bacterium tRNA-Gln". It matches the Rfam family "tRNA". From Rfam's summary of the family: Transfer RNA (tRNA) molecules are approximately 80 nucleotides in length. The record is from RNAcentral. Lineage: Bacteria; Pseudomonadati; Bacteroidota.
UGCCCCAUGGUGUAAUGGUAACACACCUGGUUUUGGUCCAGACAUUUCAGGUUCGAGUCCUGGUGGGGCAA